AACUUCUUAGGCAUGGUUUUCACUUUGUUGGUACCUGAAUCAAAGGGAAAAUCAUUAGAGGAGAUGUCAGGUGAGAACGAGGAUGAUAAUCAACCUGGAGAGCAAAGUUCAUAUAAUAGCAGGACAAUUGCAGUUUAGACUCGUUCAGAAGCCAAUUCUCUGGAAUAAUGCCUGUAUAAGUCUUCUUGAUUUUGGCAAGAAAAUCUUGACCCUUUUUUUCCUUGUUUUUUCCUUUUAACUUUUUCGCUUUCUCUGUCUAGUAGUUCUCUUCCCCACUCUUGUAGUAACUUUGUGCUGGAACUAAGGACAAUAUUAUAAGAGAUAUUCACUUUGGCC
This 336-nucleotide unclassified non-coding RNA is filed under the name Hevea brasiliensis (rubber tree). The record is from RNAcentral. Lineage: Eukaryota; Viridiplantae; Streptophyta; Magnoliopsida; Malpighiales; Euphorbiaceae.